Molecule: ribosomal RNA, 253 nt
Filed under: uncultured bacterium
Lineage: Bacteria
Description: partial 16S ribosomal RNA
Rfam family: Bacterial small subunit ribosomal RNA
Source: RNAcentral
UACGUAGGGUGCGAGCGUUGUCCGGAAUUAUUGGGCGUAAAGAGCUCGUAGGCGGUCUGUCACGUCGGCUGUGAAAUCCCGAGGCUCAACCUCGGGUCUGCAGUCGAUACGGGCAAACUAGAGUAUUGCAGGGGAGACUGGAAUUCCUGGUGUAGCGGUGAAAUGCGUAGAUAUCGGAAGGAACAUCAGUGGCGAAAGCGGCUUCCUGGACCAGCACCGACGUUCAGGCACGAAAGCGUGGGGAGCAAACAGG